GUUUGAUUAUGGCUCAGGUGAACAUGGCGGGAUACUUUACGUAAGUCGAACGGCAGCACGGACUUCGGUCUGGUGGCGAGUAGCGAACGGGUGAAGGUAAUGUAUCGGAACGUUCCUAGUAGCGGGGAUAACUACGCGGCGUAGCUAAUACCGCAUCGCCCUUCGGGGAAAAGCGGGGGGACCUUCAGGCCUCGCACUGUUAGGCGGCCGAUAUCGGAUUGAAAGCUAGUUGGUGGGGUAACGGCUCACCAAGGCGACGAUCCGUGGCUGGUUUGAGAGGGACGACCAGCCACUGGGACUGGACACGGCCCAGACUCCUACGGGAGGCAGCAGUGGGGAAUUUUGGACAAUGGGGAAACCCUGAUCCAGCCAUCCCGCGUGUGCCGAUGAAGACGCUUCCGGGUUGCUGGCACCUUUUGGCGGAAAAGAAACAGCACGGGAUAUUACCCCGUGCAACUGACGGUACCUGCAGGGUCGCGCAGCUAACUACGUGCCAAGCCGCUUGAUAUUUUUGCCAAGUGCAGCGUUAAUCGGAAUUACUGGGCGUAAAGCGAUGCGCGAGCGGUUCGGAAGAAAAGAUGUGAAAUCCCAGAGCUUAACGGAACUGCAUUUUUAACUACCGAGCUAAGAGGUAUUAGAGGAGGUGGAAUUCCCGCGAUGUAGCGAUGCGUAGAUAUGCGGAGGAACACCGAUGGCGAAGAGCGGCCAUCCUGGGAUAACACUGACGCUCAGCCCUUGCAGCGUGGGAGCAGGCAGGUUGAUCACCUGGUAGUCACGCCCCUAAACAAUGUCAGCCGCUGUUGAGGCCUUCAGGCAACGGUAGCCACAACUAACGCGUGAGAUUGACCGCUAUAGGUACGGUCGCAAGAUUAAAACUCAAAGGAAUUGACGGGGAUUACACAAGCGAUGGAUGAUGUAAGUUAAUUCGAUGCAACACGAAAACCUUGCCUACCCUUGACAUGUCUAGGAGAAAUCCCGAAGAGAUUUGGGAAUUGCUCCGCAGGGGCGGAACACAGGUGCUGCAUGGCUGUCGUCAGCUCGUGUGUCGUGAAGAUGUUAGGUUAGAAUCCGCAACGAGCGCAGCCCUUGUCAUUAGUUGCUACGAAGACACUAUUGAGACUGCCGUGUGACAAACCGGAGGAAGGUGAGGAUGACGUCAAGCCUCAUGGCCGCUAUGGGUAGGAGCUUCACACGUCAUACAAUGGUCGGGACGGUCGCCAACCCGCGAGGGCCAAUCCCAGAAACUUGAUCGUAGUCGGAUCGCAGUCUGCAACUCGACUGCGUGAAGUCGGAAUCGCUAGUAAUCGCGGAUCAGCAUGUCGCGGUGAAUACGUUCCGGGUCUUGUACACACCGCCCGUCCCUUACCAUGUGGAGUAGGUUUACAGAAAUGAAUUAGCCUAACCGUAAGGAGAGCGAUUACUACAGUAGGAUUCAUGACUGGGGUGAAGUCGUAACAAGGUAG
This 1463-nucleotide ribosomal RNA is filed under the name uncultured Bordetella sp. Its description in RNAcentral is "partial 16S-23S ribosomal RNA intergenic spacer". It matches the Rfam family "Bacterial small subunit ribosomal RNA". Lineage: Bacteria; Pseudomonadati; Pseudomonadota; Betaproteobacteria; Burkholderiales; Alcaligenaceae. The record is from RNAcentral.